GACUUGACCGAAUGGUCCACCUUUGGUGAGUACUGUUUGUGUCGAGUCUAUCCUUCUGGUGAGCUGGUAUGCCCUUUAUUGGGUGUGUCAGGGAACCAGGACCAUUACCUUGAAAAAAUUAGAGUGUUUAAAGCGGGCAUAAGCUUGAAUAGAUUAGCAUGGAAUAAUAGAAUAGGACGUUGUGGUUCUAUUUUGUUGGUUUCUAGGACCACCGUA
This 216-nucleotide ribosomal RNA is filed under the name uncultured fungus. RNAcentral's name for it is "partial small subunit ribosomal RNA". The stretch from base 47 to 216 matches the Rfam family "Eukaryotic small subunit ribosomal RNA", at positions 694 to 864 of the family's 1831-position model. The record is from RNAcentral. Lineage: Eukaryota; Fungi.